RNAcentral lists this long non-coding RNA (7625 nucleotides) under Gossypium barbadense (sea-island cotton). Its description in RNAcentral is "long non-coding RNA (GBAR_LNC020897)". Lineage: Eukaryota; Viridiplantae; Streptophyta; Magnoliopsida; Malvales; Malvaceae. The record is from RNAcentral.
UGGGACACUUAAGAAACCACAUAGGGUGAUAACCUUCCUUUAAUUCUUCUCAUAUAAUUCCAUAACCCACCAGUUAUGUUAUUACACGAUAUGGUGCCACGACCCAUGGACUUGUCCUUUAAGAGAUCAUGUUUAAAGUCCCAACAGACCCCUUUUGACAACUCCACAGAGACAGACACAGACUCACUUGACUAACUUUUCAUGUUCUGACACUAAACCAACAUACAUCUUAUAUCAUUCAUUCCAGAUUUGUUCAUAUAAUCGUAUUUUUGAUUCAGGAUUCUUAUCACUUGUUUAAGUCGUCAGAUCUCAUACAAACCAUGCACAUAAGACUCACCAAAUGUUCAUACUAUGCUCUUCAUAAUGUCGGUCACACCUAUCAUACAAUUUCUAUAGAAAUAUCUAGCAUAAACAACACACAUACAUGAAUUGGUUUAGAGACUCACCUGACAACUAUGAUCAGCAAUUCAGGUUCCAGAUCAAACAAGAAACUACAACUGUCACUACUUGGAAGACAAGUAAUACCAUUAAAACUCAGUCAAGUUAUCCUUAUCAUCUUUUGAGAUCCAAUGAUUUCCUGAUACAAAGUAUUACUUAAUCAUCACAUUUUUUAUACUCAUAACAGACUUAUCCUUCAAAAAUUAUUAGAAUGGAAGAGAGAAAGGGAAAAUCCUCCAUUCCACUCUAAAUCAAGAUAUUUUAUAGAACCUUUAUUCUCUCAGUAGGACCACACACACGUGUCAAAAUCCCCCUUUUUAUUUAUCCUAUAAAUGAUUCACCCUAUAUUCUCUCAGUAAGACCAUACACAUGUGUCAAAGUCUUUUUUUAACUAUCCUAUAAUUUAUAACUGUAGGGAAAACGUACAGAAAGACCCAUCCUUUAAUUAAUUAAUUAAUUUAUUUAUUUAUUUCACCCAUUUCGUUGGAAAUUAACUAGCACAAUAUCUAGGUAAACUUGAUUUACUAUCCCGUGACGGUAACCAUUAUCCAAGGUCCUUUGAUAUUUUUUCCAAAACCACUUAUUCUUUCAUAUCUUUUUAUCCAUAUAACAACUUUUGUCUGAUACUCUACUUUUAAUUAUACACCCAAGAUAUACGGAAAAAGCAUCAAUCGGGCGAGCAGGACUGCGCCAGACAAGUUUCUUGAGGCUACUCGCCAAAUUCAAGACUCACCAAGGUUGGGUUUUACAUUCUCUGUAGCUCUUGAGCAACUUUUAUGUGAGAAAGGAAGCUUUGCUUGCUUUCCAAAUUGACAUGCAUCUCAUCAGCUUUUUCACAGAUAAUUGGAGGAUUUUUCACAAGUUUAUUUGUAUGUAUAUAUCUCAAGGUUGAAUUAUUUAUAAUUCCCAAUUCCUUUAUGCCAUAAGAUAUAAUCAUCCACUACACUAGCAUAAGCAUUCAAAUAAAAUUGUUUCCAUUCUUUUGGAAAAAUUUUGUUCUUUAUUUUGACUAUCAUCAAUUGAAAACCAAUAGGGUAAAAAAUGAAACAUGAUAUAUCAUAAAAGUGAAAAUAAAAGUUUUUUUUUUCUAAAAUUUGUCCUACAUUCAACAAGCUUUGCCUUACAUCAGGUACAAAUAAAACAUAAAAAAUAAACCUUGUACCCAAAGAAGUUUCGACUUCAAUCAUUCAUUUUCCUUUGACAUCUACAAGCUCUCCAUUUCCAAUCUUCACUUUGGAGAAAUAAGACUUGUCCAACUCCUUAAAAAGACUUGCAUCAUGAGUCAUAUUAUUGGUGUAUCCAAUAUCCACUAGCCAUGUUUCUGUUCCACUAUUUGUAGCACAACAAGUAGCAAUGAAGAGAAUUUCUUCUUCUUGUUCGAGCUUUUUAGCAACUUGAGCGUGGCCUUUUUUAUUUGCUUUGUUUUUGCAAACCUGCUCCAUAUGUCUUAGUUUAUUACAAGCUCUACACUUAGGGCACAAGAUCUAAUAAUCUCCUAUUUUUCAUAGUGAAGUAGAUAAGUCAGGUUUCAUAUUCCCAUACCAUUCAUAUGUUUCCCCAAAACUCUUUAGCUAGCAUAGUAUUGGUAAACAAAUCUAUAGGGUUUGUUCUCAGAUGUGAUCUUUGACUACAUCCAUUAUUCCGUCAAUCACUUCCAUCUCCCUUAUGGUACUUUAUGUUUUUGUCCUCAUAUGAUUUCUUUGGUGCUUAGCUAUAUCCAAAUUGUUAUAAUGUCAUAGCUUUUCCCAAGCCUUAUAUUCGACCCUCCAUAGUGAAGUUAGCAAUGCAACCCUGCUUGACACCUAUUCACACUAUGGACUCGUCGCAUAGGACAAAUAUAAAUCUUGAUUUCAAUUUUCUUGAAUCUCGACUUGUUCAAAAGUUAGAAUCAAUAUAUUUGAUAGAAGUAAGUGUUAGAGUAUGCCCAAAGAUCAAUCAUAAGAUGGUUGUAAUAACAUACUUGAUUUAUCAUGUUUAUUAGUAUAAGGCGUUACCAUUAUUAUUUCAUCUUUUCUGUGUGUAUAAAUAAACUGUUUUAUAAUAAUGUCCUAAGAAUAAUAUGAAUAUUCUUAAAAGGUACUUAGUCAAGUAUUAAUGUUGGAUAGGACGACAAUAAUGCAUUAAGACUAACAUGUAGUUGAUUGAUGAUAAAGAGUUGUCAUUGAUAUGGAAUGUCAAAAUUGAUGCAUGAAUAUGUGUGUUAGAGAACAACAUAUUGGACUGACCCGUUAUGAGUAUGUUUCUUAGAUUAUCAUGUAAUUGUCACAACAUUACUCAUAGUGAUUAAUAUGUAUAUGAUCCUCAGACCUGAGAUCAUCAUAAUCCCAACAUCGUGAGUUGUAUAUUUUGGUACAGUCAAAUGUACAUUGUAACUGGUUGUUCUAUAAAGGCUGAUGUUGGAUAUACCAUGAUCUAUGUAGAGGGAUAUGGUUGAUCGAGAUAGGAUAAGCUCCUCCUACAUAAUAGGAGUAAUAUCUUAGGCCACUUGAUUGUGUGAUACUAGAAAUGCAUGGCCAUGCUCAAAUAAGUUGAUAUGAGAUGUCAUACUUAUUUGUAUAUGGUAGUCUGCUUAAGAUAUCAAGGGACACGGAAUGGACUAUGCAAGUGUGACUAUUCCAUGACUUGUGUCCAAUCCAGAGAUAAAGGACUUAAGGAUUAUAGCAUAAAAGGUUAAUCAUAAAAAGGUUAUGUCGAAUCAUGAUUUCUUGUGACUUAGGUAGCAAUGAUGCAUUGUUAGAUGCCACUCAUUGUUUGUAACAUUGGAAUCGUUCUAGUAUUACUGCUAACGUUACAAAAACCUACAGGGUCACACCCUAUAGUUGAAAUGAACGGAAUAAAACAUAGUUGGUAUUGUGUUUGGUUGUCGCAUGAAUUAAAUUAAUUAUAGAAUUAAUUUAAUUGGGUAAUCAAAUAUCGAACACAUUAUGUACAAGGUUGUUGUACGCAUGAUGAGAACAUAAAUUUGGUUAGUAUAUAAAUUCAAAUAAAUAUAUGGUUUACCAAAAUUAUAUUAUAAUUAAUGUAACUAUAAUUUUUGGUUUAAAAUAUUAUUAUAUUUAUUUAAUUUUUAGAAACCCUAUAAAAAAGAUAUAUAAGAAUCCCGUUUUUUCUUUGCUUGGGGUCUAGCACCCGUCAAAGAAAAUUCUUUUCAAAACUGUUUUAACGGAUUCCUUCCGUUCAUAAUCAACUGAGUGGAUUACGUAGAGGCCGAGGUCACGAUAGAUUGCGGCUUGGUUCGAUAGUAAAUUAGACUACUCGUUGCUGAGGCGUUGCUGUCUACUCAGAAUAAACAUUCGGUAAUUUCGUAACCUUUAUCACCCCGAUUCGUUCCUCACACAUGGAUCCGUGGUUAGGAUCAUCAAAUUUUUAAUUUUUCCCGCUGCUCCGUAGGGGUGCCGGCGAUCCAACAGUAAGAUCUCUUCUGGAAUACACAGGCAUAUAAUCUCUCAUUCUCCAUAAAUACUUGAGUACAUGAUUAAUUGCUUGCCAGUGUAUUGGACAACGAUUCGCUGAAUAUCAACUCACCAUCGAGAAACAGGUUAUCUUGUCACGAUGUCUCCUGUUUGAGGUCACCAUAUUAGUCUUUUUUUAAUUUUGAAAACAUAGAGUUCAGUCUUUAAGGUGGGAAAUUUGGUUAUUGUCUUCAAAGUUGCGACACUAAACCUGGAAGUCGUGACACCAGCCUGAGAAGUUUCAAAAAUGUUGUAGUUUAGUCCUUAAUCAAUCUCGAGAUGGUGUUGGGAUUUCGUAAACUCGUAUAUGACCCAAAACUUAUUAAAUAUUGUGUUUUAUGCAUGUAACACCUAUAUAUUAAUGAUAAAUGAUGGAAUUUGUAUAUAGUGGAUAAUAGUUGCUUUGACAACGAAUGUUGCAUCCUAUAGGUCUGACCCAACAAUCGGGUUGAGUAUGAGGUGUUACAUACAAUGUGGUCGGCCAACUAUCAUACGAUUACAAUAUAAUUCUUUCUUUUUAGAAAUCUGCUAAGUGAAGUCCACAUGACAAUCCUACUAUGGGGUAGUUAAAUUGUCAUGUCAUCACAAGAGACCAUUGAUGGAGACUGUAGGUCUUGUUUAUGGACAUUUAAGGUUUUUAUGCCCAGUUUCAAUCAUAAAUGACUAAUAAAUGCUUGACAAGUACAUGUGGCAUUCUUUUCUUAAACUAUAUGUCAUGCUUAUCACACAUAUGCAUGAACAUACUUUUGUAGUCAAUUUAAAUAUCAUCACGCUACCAUAUAAAAGCAUAAAAUUAAAUGACUCUGACCAACCAAAGUUUCUAUGAUUUAAUCCAAAAAAAAAAUUACAAUGGUUACCUCAAAACCUACUCUGGGUAUUCUUGUUGAAUGCUAAAUAUCCUAAUUUUUGAGGUUUUUACCCAAACCACAAAUGACUUGAAAAACACCAAUGGGAUCUAUUGUCGAACUACUAUCGCCACCAUGGGCUUCCACUAUCGUUAUAAUUGACGUCAUUGUCGUCGUCAGGUCACUGUUGGAUUGCCACUAGGCCGUCAAUGACCACUAUUGGCCACCACCGUUGAACCACGGACAACCUCCGCCAUUGGACCACUAUCCAUCUUUUGCCAGUUGGCUGGAUUGGGUUUGCAUCUUCUCGAUCAGUCUUGGAUGCAUCUCGAUUCUCCGUGAUUCAUCAGGGAAAAUUGAUUACAUAAUACUUUUGUUCGUUUCUAGCUCACAUGAAUUAUUCUAAAGAUAAACAAAUUAAAUAAUCCCUAUAUGGAGAUGAUAGUUCAUGAUCUAUUUACAUAUAUCAGAAAAAUUAAUAAUAAUUACAACCAAAUUUUUAGGACUCGCAAAUUUGGAAAAAAUUCUUUAUCAUGUAAAUAAUAAAAUAAUAAAAAUACAUUCAUUCACAUACAUAACCCACAACAUGUUAAUAAUUAUAAGAAUGUCACAUCUUAUCAAAGAAUUAACAAAACAUGAAGAAGAGAGAAAAUUUUGGUAUUGAUUCAUACUAUAAACUUAGCAUAACUUUGCUCUGAUACUAAUUUGUUGAAAAAAUUCAAUUCAAAAAUGAUUUUCUUGCACAGCGAAAAAUAAAAAAAUUUAAAAUUGACCCGAUUUGUGAUAUUUAUAACAAUAAACAUUUCCCCAAAAUAAUGCACAGGGGAACCAUAAAUGUUUACUAUCAAAUACUAAUUCAAUCAUUCAUCAUAAAGACAAAUGACCCAUGGCUACGUUUACUUUUAAUCUAUUAUGUAUUGCCAAUGAAAGGAUAUCAUUUACCCAUGUCUUGGGCUAUGAAUUCCACUAUUGUGAAUGAUGCUACAUACUGCAGAUGUCGUAUACCCAACGCACUAGUUUUCAGUUCUUUAACUAUCCGAACUUAUAUUUUUACUUACUUCAAUGUAUAUGAGUCAUACAUACAUAGUCCAUCAUCCACUCAGGAUUAAGGUAUGCUACACUAUGAACGUUACAAGUGAAUAAAUCCAUGAACAAAUUCAAGAUCUAUUCUACUUGGGUCAUUUCCGAUGUACUAUCAGUCUAGUUAGUUAUAUUUAUGUCUCUAUCUUCUGGGAUUCUUCCGCUUCGAUGUUCAAGACAAAGCAUCUCCUCAAUUGGACUUGAUAGACGACGUAUUAGUCUUUCAAUCGAUUUGCUUAUUUCCGAUUAGACUAAAAAAUGAUAGAUAUAUGUGAUCAAAACAAUUUAUACAUUUUUUAGUCAAAUUUACUUUCAUGUAAAUAAUUAUUUUAAUGAACUAGCUAGAGUAAUCCAUGUUUAAGUUUUCAAGAAGGUGAUGGAAAUCUUUUGAAAAAGCAAUUCGAGUGCUUAAACAUUCAAUCCCAGAUGUCUGAUUUCUUAGUUCACGGGACAAUAUUAAAAUCUAUAAUGCCAUUUAUCGAAGCAAUCUAGUUAAAAUUUAUUUUAAAAUUUAUACAUUCAUUUCAUUAUUUUUACUUAAAUAAAGAAAUUAUUGUUUAAUUACAAUUCUAACUAAAUGCGCAUUUCUCGCCAUCAUUCUAUACAGAUCUUAUAUACAUAUCAUACAUGAUCAUAUCACCAUCGAUACGCCUCGUAUCAUUGAGAACAUUGUGGUCUAUGCCAAUUACUUAACAUAGAGUAUGUUGUAGGGCGUUCUUUUGGGUGUAUCAUUGAGAGUCAUUUUGGAACACGCCACAGGAACAACCCAUUCUGAAUAUGUCAUGAUGGCUCUUCCUUGUAGGACCCGUCGUGAAGGCGAUUUCUUAAUAUGUCGGUGCAAAAAUAAUUCCUUGGUACCUUUCCAAGAGGGAUUUUAAUCUUUAGUGUCUGCCCUCCAUAUCAUACUUUUUCUUCUACAUUAAAAACUUCAUGCUCUUCUUUCAUGGUUCACCACAAAGGCAUUCCCUUUAAAUGGUAGUCACAAAGGCUAUUUUUCUUUAAUGUUUGUCAUCAAGGCUUUCUCUUCAAGUUUUGCCAUAAAGGUGGAUCUUAAGAGUACGUCGCUAAGGUAUUUCUUACAAAUCGUUGCCAUGAUCGCAUGUCCUUUCCUGAUGUGUUUACUAUGAUUUUCCUAACUCAUACUAUGAGAGGUUUACCCAUCAUCAUUCUGGGACACUUAAGAAACCACAUAGGGUGAUAACCUUCCUUUAAUUCUUCUCAUAUAAUUCCAUAACCCACCAGUUAUGUUAUUACACGAUAUGGUGCCACGACCCAUGGACUUGUCCUUUAAGAGAUCAUGUUUAAAGUCCCAACAGACCCCUUUUGACAACUCCACAGAGACAGACACAGACUCACUUGACUAACUUUUCAUGUUCUGACACUAAACCAACAUACAUCUUAUAUCAUUCAUUCCAGAUUUGUUCAUAUAAUCGUAUUUUUGAUUCAGGAUUCUUAUCACUUGUUUAAGUCGUCAGAUCUCAUACAAACCAUGCACAUAAGACUCACCAAAUGUUCAUACUAUGCUCUUCAUAAUGUCGGUCACACCUAUCAUACAAUUUCUAUAGAAAUAUCUAGCAUAAACAACACACAUACAUGAAUUGGUUUAGAGACUCACCUGACAACUAUGAUCAGCAAUUCAGGUUCCAGAUCAAACAAGAAACUACAACUGUCACUACUUGGAAGACAAGUAAUACCAUUAAAACUCAGUCAAGUUAUCCUUAUCAUCUUUUGAGAUCCAAUGAUUUCCUGAUACAAAGUAUUACUUAAUCAUCACAUUUUUAUACUCAUAACAGACUUAUCCUUCAAAAAU